This is a long non-coding RNA of Oncorhynchus tshawytscha (Chinook salmon), 3912 nucleotides long. The record is from Ensembl. NCBI's taxonomy places the organism in Eukaryota, Metazoa, Chordata, Actinopteri, Salmoniformes, Salmonidae.
UGACAAUCAAACAGGACCCGACAUUAGAUCGAAGGAAAAGUUAGAAUUUUGGACCAGCUCGGGUUGGGUCUCGGGUAUUCGGGUUAGGGUGGACCCAUGAAGACCUCUAGGAGAUGGUGUUAUGGAAGGGGGACAAUGUGCUGGAUAAUGAGGUUGUCUUGACCAAGAUGAAGCUCUUCAACAACUUCCAUGAGAAGCUCCUCAACAACACUGAUGAUUCUUCAUCCACUAUCUCCAUGUCAGUAUCUGAGCAGGACAUCUCAGAGCCUGUCAAAGGCUUGAAGGGGAAUGCUGAUCUGGAUAACAUGCCUGGAAAGCCCCUGAUGGAGUCAAACUCAGGCUACCUCUCUGACAUUUUCUCAGACUCUCAGCUUCCCAUGCUGUACAAGUUUGAGUCGGAGGACUCUGGAGUGGAACUGCCCAGUGGAACCAACUCUCCCUCCACACCCACCGGCUCAGAGCAGAGCUUUGUGGUCCACAGCCGGGAACCCUCCUAUGACUCCUGUAACCUCAAUACUCCUGUCCCUACCCCAGGUCCACUCCUCACCAUUGAACAGUGCUCUGACACCAAACAAACAGAGGAUAUAAGAGACACACCAUGUACGACUGUAGACAAUGCUGUGCUGGAGUGUAAUACUGUGGAGUUGGGGGCUGAACUCAACACAGGGGUUGAGAGGGUAGACCUUCAUAUAACUGAGAAGGACAUACAUAUGGAGAGGGCCCAACACAGGGCCUUGAAGGACACUGCUGAGGACAGUGACAGGGUUUCAGAGGAGCUGGGUGAGAACAGGGCUGUGACUGACGGGAUCAACUCAGCGAACACAAGGUCCAAGAGCCAGUGCUCUACAGGGGCCUGUGAUGAUAUGACAGGAGUUAACUUUGAGCAGCGGCCUCUGAGGAAAAGCACGACGAGCGACAGCCUAGAGGAGUAUAUGGAGGAAUGCUGUCGACUGAGUGAGGUGCACCAGGCCAGCUCCAACCCCCUGGGCUCCGGACUGGGCUACCUGGAGCACAUCUGCCAGCUCAUUGAGAAGAUUGGGCAGCUCCAGGAACACAACCUAAGGCUGCAGAAGCAAAUCUGUGGGCUGCAAAAGGAUGGAAGGAUGACCAAGACCAAAGAGGACUUCUUCCUGCAGCACUGUAGCUGUGGAACGGCCGGCCUGGCCUUCCAUGAACAGAAAAGACACUCUAGGAGUGAGUUCCUGACCACCUCCGUGAGCGGCACACUCUCUGACCUCUCCACCAUCCCUGAGGUCACACACCACACAGGACUCACAGCCAGGGGAGAGAGUGACCAGGGUGGAUGCCAGCCCCUGGUGCCCCUUUGGAAGAGGGGCCUGAAUCGGAUGAGCUACACAGAGGGAGAUACGCGCUCCUAUCUAUCUGACAGUACAGAGGGUCUCUCUGCCCCACACAGACGGCUGAGUGAGAACUACACGUGGGGCAGAGUGAAGGAUCUGGUGAAGAAGACCAAGCUGAGGAACCAGAGCAGACUGGGACAAACAUCCACCUCCCUCAAGAGAUCCUGUCCACAGCUUUACCGCCCUGACCUGGGACCAGUGGACCUACCAGGAAGAAACAGGAACUCCAUGAUCGCCUUGGGCCAUCAGAACAAACUGGACUUCCAGUGGCCCAGAUAACCAUUGUUGAUAUGAAACAGACGGCCCGAAGUGGGAAGAGAAUGCCCGGAAGGUGAAGUUGCACAGAUUCUCGACUGGACUGAGAGAGUAGUGUGUAAGGAGGGAUGUGAGAAAUAACAUUUGUGAUGGAUGACAAAACUUUGAGUGAGGAGUGAAAAGAAAACAAAAAGAGGGAUGGUCAUAGACAUCUCUCUUGAGAUACAAUUCUAAACUAAGGGAUUGUAUUGUUUCAGAUAAGGGAACAUUGGUAUUUAUAUGAGAACAGACAUGCAUGUACUCCACAAUGAACAUGAAUACGAUACAAAUGAUUUAAUCUUGUACUAUAAAUUCAUAUUGUAAUGCUUUCUCUAAAUAUGUGUUAUGUUAGUGACAUUUCAGUACUAUGUGUUGAUGGAGAAAACAACAACUCUUUGACAUGGUUGUUCCAACUAAGAAAUAGCCUAGACAAUAUUCUGGGGUGAAAUUAAAGGGAUAGUUCACCCAAAUUACAAAAUGACAUUGGUUUCCUUACACUGUAAGCCGUCUAUGGACAAGCUAUGGCAGCAAUGCAUCCUUUGGUUUAGUUUCCCUGCCACUGUUUCAACAUGCUAGCAUUUUAGCAUUUGUGGCACAAAUCCCAUUCAAGUCACGGGACCGAUAUUAUUCGCGCAUCAUGCCCAAAUCAAUACAUGAUUUAAAUUCUAGAUAAGAGCGUUUGCUAAAUGACUAAAAUGAAAAUGUAAAUGUAAAAAUCAUUUGAAAGUAUCUAAAGUCGCUUGUCAAACUCAACAAAGUCACAUAGAUUAUUUGAACAUGAUGCUUGAAAAAUAUUAAUUUCGGUCCCAUGACAGGGUAAGGAAACCAAUAUGUAAUUUGGUGUUUGGGUGAACUAAUCGCUUUGGUUAUCAUGCCCCCUUGAACAAAUGUGAAACAUACACAUAUCAUACAUAUUUGAGGAUUGUACUUAACUAUUCAACACAUUUUGUAUGAAUUCUCUUCUUGUUUUGAGUGUAGGCCUAAGAGGCUGUGUGUGCAUGCACUAUACAGGGAUAAUAGAUCGUGGUGAUGUUGUGUGAAUGUGCUGUAUAUAACAAAAGGUAAUUGUGUACAGUCACCGUGUAUGUACAGGAGGGGAGUUAUGCCUCUGUAAAUUCCUAUGUUUAUAUGAUGGAAAUUUACUUUUUUUUUUACUUUUUGGAGAUAGGGGUUCCAGAUCCCUUAUGAUAAAAAAAAAACACUUUGAGGAUGCUAGAAAACGUUUGUGAUGCAUUGCCGCAAGGUUUUUUAAUGUUCCUCUCAAACAUUUAUGUAAAAAAAAAAAACAGCAAAGAAAAAAAACAAUUUCGCAUCACUGCAACAUGUACAGUAUUUUAUCAGAGGCUGCUGUUGCAUAUGUUCAUCUUCAAGGCAUUUUUUAUUUUAUUGUGACAUGCAAGUCUGGUUUGACAAGCUAACGGUGAUUUUAGCUUUUCUACAUCACGGUUACAUUCCCUGGUUUUCCAGAAAUCCUGGUUGGAAUAUUCCCGUAUUUCCUGCUUUUCCCUCGUAAUGCCAUGAAUCUUCCCAACAGGCUUCCUUGAAAAAUUGGGAAUUUUGGGAAAGCUACUGGAAUUUUGCAACCUUAGUUACGUCACUAUGAGCUUCCUUUGAUAACAGACAGGCAAGUGCCAUGGUACCUUGGAAAUCUCACUGGGUAAAACUACAGAAGGAAGGUUCAACACAGAAGCUUUGAAAAGGAUGAUUACAAUGGCUUCAAAGCCUGGACAUCUAAUUGAAAUACAGCAGAGGUCAAUUCCAAAUGCUCAAAACUGUCCAGUGUUGUUUACAACAGGAAUGGAGGUCAUCACAUUUUUAGAAAAUACUAAUCCCACAGAAAGAACAAAACAGUUAGUUAUCCAAGUAUGUACUUCAGCAAUGUGAACAACAGUAUAGUACAACACCAAUGAGUUAUUCAUCAUGGUCAACGUGUACUCCUAUUAAAAUAAUAAUGUACUCUGUAGUACUGUACACGUAGCACAGCUGUGGCUGUAUCAUACGGAAUUCAUGUACUUCUAAAUACUCUAAUCAAGUAGAAAAUACAUCUGUUGCAACUUGAGAGGCAGUAAAUGCUGUCAAUAUGCAUGAUAGGCCUACAUGUUUUGUCAGGACUGGGAUCUAAAGACUAAAGAUUGUUAUAUCUGUAUAUUGUAGAGUCACAGUAAGUUGUACAUGGAUGGAAUAUCUCAAUAUGUGUAAUGUAUCAUUAUUCAAAGUUAUUUUUCGAAAUAAAGUUGACAUUUUCAAUGACAUGAAA